RNAcentral lists this ribosomal RNA (167 nucleotides) under uncultured bacterium. RNAcentral's name for it is "partial 16S rRNA". It matches the Rfam family "Bacterial small subunit ribosomal RNA", at positions 352 to 511 of the family's 1533-position model. The record is from RNAcentral.
CAGUAGGGAAUCUUCCACAAUGGACGAAAGUCUGAUGGAGCAACGCCGCGUGAGUGAAGAAGGUUUUCGGAUCGUAAAGCUCUGUUGUUGGUGAAGAAGGAUAGAGGCAGUAACUGGCCUUUAUUUGACGGUAAUCAACCAGAAAGUCACGGCUAACUACGUGCCAG